This 548-nucleotide ribosomal RNA is filed under the name fungal sp. ARIZ B534. RNAcentral's name for it is "eukaryotic LSU rRNA". The stretch from base 163 to 316 matches the Rfam family "5.8S ribosomal RNA". Lineage: Eukaryota; Fungi. The record is from RNAcentral.
GGAGGGAUCAUUACCGAGUUAUUCAACUCAUCAACCCUGUGAACAUACCUAAACGUUGCUUGGCGGGAAUAGACGGCCCCGUGAAACGGGCCGCCCCCGCCAGAGGACCCUUAACUCUGUUUCUAUAAUGUUUCUUCUGAGUAAAACAAGCAAAUAAAUUAAAACUUUCAACAACGGAUCUCUUGGCUCUGGCAUCGAUGAAGAACGCAGCGAAAUGCGAUAAGUAAUGUGAAUUGCAGAAUUCAGUGAAUCAUCGAAUCUUUGAACGCACAUUGCGCCCGCCAGUAUUCUGGCGGGCAUGCCUGUUCGAGCGUCAUUACAACCCUCAGGCCCCCGGGCCUGGCGUUGGGGAUCGGCGGAGCCUCUCUGUGGGCACACGCCGUCCCCCAAAUACAGUGGCGGUCCCGCCGCAGCUUCCAUCGCGUAGUAGCUAACACCUCGCGACUGGAGAGCGGCGCGGCCACGCCGUAAAACACCCAACUUUUCUGAAGUUGACCUCGAAUCAGGUAGGAAUACCCGCUGAACUUAAGCAUAUCAAUAAACGGAGG